RNAcentral lists this long non-coding RNA (1143 nucleotides) under Macaca fascicularis (crab-eating macaque). RNAcentral's name for it is "lncRNA (ENSMFAG00000055322.1)". Lineage: Eukaryota; Metazoa; Chordata; Mammalia; Primates; Cercopithecidae. The record is from RNAcentral.
AAAGACUCCACGGACACCAAUGUGUAGCAUAUGCUCACAGACACUGUGCUCAACGGGAACCCAGGGUACCCCUACAGGAGCAGAGAGAGGGUAGGAAGCCUCGGCUGUGGACAUUAUUUAUCCCUCCCCUACCCCACCCCACUACUCCUUCCCUCCCUCCCUCACCCUAUCCUGCUCCUACCCCACCCCUCCUGAUUUUCCACAUUUCUCUCUCUCUCUUUCACACACACACACACACACACACACACACAGAGUUUGUCUUCUCAGUAGCCUUCUGAUCUUGGUGAUUUACGAAUCCAGAAAAAUGCACAAAAGCAGUCAUUAGCCAAAAAGAACCCAUGUGUUCCUGGUAACAUUCAAAUGACCCCGGUACUCAGGAAGGUUUCUUGGGGCCAUCAGCCUAUCUGGAAUGGCUAUCACUCUUCAAGACCAAAACAUGUUUUUAAACACUUCUGUCCAUUCAUUCCUUCAUUCCUUGGUCCAACACAUCUGUGCAAAGCUCCUACAGUGGACAGUACCCCAGACUAUACGUUUAUAGUCUAGCGCAAGCCUGUCCAGCCCAUGGCCCACAGGCCACAUGCGGCCCAGGACCGCUUUGAAUAUGACCCAACACAAAUCUGUAAACUUUCUUCAAACAUGAUGAGAUUUUGGGGGGAUUUUUUUUUUAGCUCAUUAGCUAUGUGAAUAUUAGUGCAUUUCAUAUGUGACCCAAGACAAUUCCUCUUCCAAAGAGGCCCAGGGAAGCCAAAGCAUGGGACAGCCCUGGUCUAGGGCAUGGAUAAUAUCAAACACUAAUAUCUAGCAAAUACGAAACUCAAUAGCAGGGUGCAUUUAGAACUAGAUGAUAGCCGAGUGCGGUGGCUCAUGCCUGUAAUCCCAGCACUUUGGGAGGUUGAGGCAGGUGGAUCUCCUGAGGUCAGGAGUUCGAGACCAGCUUCACCAACCUGGUGAAACUCUGUCUCUACUAAAAACACAAAAAUUAGCUGGGUGCAGUGGCGGGUGCCUAUAAUCUCAGCUACUCGGGAGGAUGAGGCAGAAGAAUCCCUUGAACCCAGGAGGCGGAGGUUGCAGUGAGCUGAGAUCACGUCAUUGCACUCUAGCCUCGGUGACAAAGCAAGACUCCAUCUCAAAAAAAAAAAAAAA